Pelobates cultripes (western spadefoot toad) is the source of this 152-nucleotide non-coding RNA. Lineage: Eukaryota; Metazoa; Chordata; Amphibia; Anura; Pelobatidae. The record is from the annotation of a GenBank genome assembly.
GCUGACACGUCCCGGCCAAUCUCCAGCAGACCCUCCCUCCCAGACCCUCCUACUUCCUGGACAGCAUCCAUGUUUUGAAAACAUGGAUGCUGUCCAGGAAGUAGGAGGGUCUGGGAGGGAGGGUCUGCUGGAGAUUGGCCGGGACGUGUCAG